RNAcentral lists this small RNA (565 nucleotides) under Pongo abelii (Sumatran orangutan). Its description in RNAcentral is "processed transcript". Lineage: Eukaryota; Metazoa; Chordata; Mammalia; Primates; Hominidae. The record is from RNAcentral.
AGGAAUGAUAAAUCAUAAGUCCUAGCUUCCCCUAUACUGAUUCCAGUGUAGUACACAUUGCAGGUGCUCCCCACCUGUGGAUUAAAUGCAUUAUACCUCCCCAUCAGCAAAAGAUCGCAACAACAAGUUUCUCUGCAGGUGGAUAUUGUUCCCAGCCAGGGGGAGAUCAGCGUUGGAGAGUCCAAAUUCUUCUUAUGCCAAGUGGCAGGAGAUGCCAAAGAUAAAGACAUCUCCUGGUUCUCCCCCAAUGGAGAAAAGCUCACCCCAAACCAGCAGCGGAUCUCAGUGGUGUGGAAUGAUGAUUCCUCCUCCACCCUCACCAUCUAUAACGCCAACAUCGACGACGCCGGCAUUUACAAGUGUGUGGUUACAGGCGAGGAUGGCAGUGAGUCAGAGGCCACUGUCAACGUGAAGAUCUUUCAGAAGCUCAUGUUCAAGAAUGCGCCAACCCCACAGGAGUUCCGGGAGGGGGAAGAUGCUGUGAUUGUGUGUGAUGUGGUCAGCUCCCUCCCGCCAACCAUCAUCUGGAAACACAAAGGCCGAGAUGUCAUCCUGAAAAAAGAUG